RNAcentral lists this unclassified non-coding RNA (244 nucleotides) under plant metagenome. Its description in RNAcentral is "partial contains small subunit ribosomal RNA, internal transcribed spacer 1, and 5.8S ribosomal RNA". The record is from RNAcentral.
UUUCCGUAGGUGAACCUGCGGAAGGAUCAUUAAUGAGUUAGGGUCUUUCAGGCCCGACCUCCAACCCUUUGUUAAAAUACCAUGUUGCUUCGGCGAGCCCGUCUUGAACCGGACCGUCGGAGGUUAUCUUUAACCUCUGGCCAGUGCUCGUCGAUGGCCCCAUUCAAAAAACUCAUUUAACCAUGUUAAAUCUGAACUUUGUCAAAAUAAACUAAAACUUUCAACAACGGAUCUCUUGGUUCUG